Molecule: RNA transcript, 3357 nt
Organism: Anoplopoma fimbria (sablefish)
Lineage: Eukaryota; Metazoa; Chordata; Actinopteri; Perciformes; Anoplopomatidae
Gene name: kelch-like protein 12
Exons: 14
Source: RefSeq, a predicted model, not a curated record
AUCUGUGGAGUCUCUGCUGCAAUUUUAGUCAAUGUUCUAGCUGGUUAAAACUCGUGAGAGGGGCUGAUAUGAUGAUAUUUGUGGCGUUUUAGAUAUGAAAGGCUUUUAAGCAGGCGGUGCAUUGUGUGAAACAUCAAAGGUCGUCAUGGUUUAGCUGUAGUUCAGAGGCUUUUUCUCCAGACAGGGUGACUGACAGCAGGGACUGGGACAAGGGACUUUGGUGCUACUGACGUGAGCUAGCAUCGCAACUUAGCUAGACGCUUUGAGUCAGCUUUACUGCUGCGACAGUUGUUGUCCAGCGUUGGCGUUUAGCCCUCAGCUGUCUCUGGCUGCUGCUUGCUAAUGUGUAGCUAUAGUUAUUGCCUCCCAGUGGUGGAAAAAGUAUUCAGAUCUUUUAACGAUUCCUUGAGCAGUUUGAGAUCCUUGAGAGAUUCUCAGGGCAGCAUGGCUCCCAAAGACAUCAUGACCAACUCCCAUGCCAAGUCCAUCCUCAACGCCAUGAACUCACUUCGCAAGAGCAACACACUCUGUGAUAUCACUCUGAGGGUGGAGAACACAGAUUUUCCGGCUCACCGGAUUGUUUUAGCCGCCUGCAGUGACUAUUUCUGUGCCAUGUUCACCAGUGAGCUUUCAGAGAAGGGGAAAUCUUUUGUGGACAUUCAGGGACUCACUGCAUCGACUAUGGAGAUCUUGUUGGACUUUGUGUACACAGAGACGGUGCUCGUCACAGUGGAGAACGUACAAGAACUGCUCCCUGCAGCCUGCUUACUGCAGCUCAAAGGGGUAAAAAGAGCGUGUUGCGAUUUCUUGGAGAGUCAGCUUGAUCCCUCCAACUGCCUGGGUAUUCGUGACUUUGCCGAAACUCACAAUUGCCUGGACCUGAUGCAGGCGGCCGAGCUCUUUUCCCAGAAGCAUUUCUCUGAGGUGGUUCAGCAUGAGGAGUUCAUGCUGCUCAGCCAGACGGAAGUUGAAAAGCUCAUAAAAUGUGAUGAAAUCCAGGUGGACUCAGAGGAGCCUGUAUUUGAAGCCGUGUUAAACUGGGUCAAACACAACCGCAAGGAGCGAGAGCCCUACCUGCCCGACAUGCUGGAGUUUGUUCGGUUGCCGCUCCUGACCCCACGCUACAUCACAGAUGUCAUUGAUGCAGAGCCCCUCAUUCGGUGUAGCCUGCCAUGUCGAGACCUCGUUGAUGAAGCCAAGAAAUUCCACUUAAGACCGGAGCUGAGGAGUGAGAUGCAGGGCCCACGCACACAAGCUAGAUUAGGUGCCAAAGAAGUCCUGUUGGUUAUAGGCGGGUUUGGCAGCCAGCAAUCACCAAUAGACAUAGUAGAGAAAUAUGAUCCGAAAACACAAGAAUGGAGCUCCCUUCCUAACAUUGCACGGAAAAGGCGUUAUGUCGCCACGGUGUCUCUCCACGACCGAGUGUAUGUGAUCGGAGGCUACGACGGUCGGUCGAGGCUCAGCUCCGUGGAGUGCCUGGACUACACAGCGGACGAGGACGGGGUUUGGUACACCGUCGCCACCAUGAAUGUGCGUCGAGGCCUCGCUGGAGCCACGACACUCGGAGACAUGAUCUAUGUUGCCGGUGGCUUCGAUGGCAGCCGGCGUCACACCAGCAUGGAGCGAUACGACCCAAACAUUGACCAGUGGAGCAUGCUGGGAGAUAUGCAGACAGCUAGAGAAGGAGCUGGUCUAGUGGUGGCAAGUGGACUUAUAUACUGUCUAGGUGGAUAUGAUGGACUAAAUAUCCUGAAUUCAGUGGAGCGGUACGACCCGCACACGGGCCACUGGACCAGUGUUACUCCGAUGGCCACCAAGCGGUCAGGCGCCGGUGUAGCUUUACUCAACGACCACAUCUAUGUCGUGGGAGGCUUUGAUGGUGUUUCACACCUCGACUCUGUCGAGGUCUACAACAUCAGAACAGACUAUUGGACCACUGUGGCCAGUAUGACGACGCCUCGAUGUUACGUAGGAGCGACCGUCCUCAGAGGACGUCUCUACGCCAUCGCCGGAUAUGAUGGGAACUCUCUCCUCAGCAGCAUUGAAUGUUACGACCCGGUCAUCGACUCCUGGGAGGUCGUCACUUCGAUGGCGACGCAGCGAUGCGACGCAGGCGUCUGUGUUCUACGAGAAAAGUGAUCUCUGCCGAGAACCACAAAAGGAAAAGCAAACGCAAGGACAGGCGGCUAGACCUUUUGCUAAAAUGCCACUAAAACGGAGCCAAACAAAGGGAGAUGUUUGUUCGCCAGUAUGCAAAUGGUUACUCUGGAAAAAAAGAAUAGGUGCAGCGGUUUGGACUGCCUUAUCUAACGGAUGGUCAACCCUUCGACAGUCGGACUGUGCAGCAGAGAUCGGUGGCAGACUUCACCUCAAAAGAGGCCUCCGACGAGCCCAUCACCACUUGCAUGACUCUUCGGUGGUACAUGUUGCUGUGGUUACCUGUGAGAUUAUUUUUUCAGUUUGUCUUCAAAGUGCAAUAUAUUUCUACACAUCAUAAAACAGAAAGAGAUGGAGUUGGUUUAGACUCCGGUUGCUGCUAUAUGCCUUAUGACUUUGGCCUCCAUCAAACAGUGAACAUCCAUGUUGCCUCCCAUGUGACUUUGAUGACAGUUACAGUACAUCGGCUUAUCAUCGAGUGUACUUGUUUGGCAUUUGCGAGGUCAUUAAUGGGUCACUAAUUCAACCCUUUUUUGUAAUCCCUUCCGUUAACAGUGCUUUUGGAUUCAAAUCGCUUUCAUACAGAAGGUUUAAUACUUAUUGUUGCUCUCAAAAUAUAUAUUUAGAGAUCAAUAUUGUUUUAGCAAAUGACUGAAUUGUACCAGUUGACUUUGAUUAUUUUGUCCCUAAAAAAAAAAAAUCACAAAGUAAUAAGUAUAAGGUGCAUGUGAUUUUUUUUUUUAUUUUUUUUUUCUUCCUCCGCUUAUAAAUCUGGACAUGUUCAUGUAGGACACAAAGUCCUAACAUUGUUGCCUGGGAAGUGAAUAAACACGCUGAAAACUGACGCGUUUCCUCCUCUCAGUCUGUAAACACUUGCUAAGUGAUGCAGAGAGACUAAAGGCUGUAUAUUCGCUUCACACGUCGUCAGCUGAGUCAGUGGCAUCACCAUCCACAUCCACGUGAGACGGAUCAUCAAGCCACUCGAAGCAGCAGAUUCAACAAACUAAACAAGCCAGAAGAAGCCCCACCGCCAGACAGACACACCAGGUGAGUCUGUUUCUGUCUGCAGGUAUAAAGAGCAGCUGGCAGCGCGGCGGGCGGUACAGAGCUGAUCGGAGGAGACACGGUACUGGUCCCGGAUCAGUGCAGAGGAAGGGUCGGUCUGUUUGGAGCAUUGAGGACAGACGAAUAAACUCAGUG